RNAcentral lists this long non-coding RNA (1494 nucleotides) under Homo sapiens (human). Its description in RNAcentral is "HSALNT0303757". Lineage: Eukaryota; Metazoa; Chordata; Mammalia; Primates; Hominidae. The record is from RNAcentral.
CCCAACACCCGGAGCCACUGUGGCUCCGGCCGGUUGCGCUGGCCCUCGGGCCCUCAGGGAGGCGAGGGUGCGAGGGCAGAGGAGUCCCUCCCUGUGUCCACCACCAUCACAAGCCCAGGGCAAGUACUGCUAGAGGGCUGCCUAUGAUCAGAUCUUCUGAGAACAUCAGAGAAAGACUGUCCUUGCAAUCUACACUACAGCAAGACUUCAGGACCUUGAACUUCAGGUUCAUAAUCUCACAACUGAGAAGGAUCCUUCCACACUCUUGGAACAGUGCACCCAUUGGAACUCUGAAGGUUAAGCUCACCAGGAAAGUUUCUCUCCAGAAGAAGAUAACACCCUUAAUGUGAACAGCUUUUCCCAAAAUCACGGAUUGAAACUUCUCUACACUCACGAGACUCUUAUCUUUGAAUAUUUUCCCUUGGUUAUGCUUCUGUGAACAAUAGACGUGAAAAGGGAGUCUGUUGUGUGCACUUAUGGGGCACACUUUUAUGUGUGAAGGAUUUUUCAGCCAGCCUUAUAUAUGGAUGACCUUAUAGUUUAAGAGAUAAAAGACAAAGACCCAAUGCAGCCAAAGAUGGGGUCAGAUAGCCUCUUGCCAUUUGGAAAGAAGAUGAGCAAAAAUGUAGAAAAAGCAAACGCAACUCCUAUCCCCAACAUUGUCAGCACCAUUGCUGUAAACUGACAAAGAGAUGUGUCCCUAAAUGUAUUUUUUAUUCUGUGUUCAAAGAUCACCAAUGAGAUUCCCAGUUGCCAAAUCCAAUCUUUAGUUUUCAUCUUAGUUCCUCUGAGCAACAUCUGAAAAAGGUGUCAUUAUAAGAGAGAGUCAGAGGAAGACUUCACUACAAUAAAUAAAUAAAUAAGAUGUGAUGCUGGAACCAAAGGUUGAUAUGACAUGCUUUGAAGGUAGUGGAAGAACACCUGGGCCAAGAAAUGCAGGUGGUCUUUUGAGGCUGGAAAGACAAGGAAAUAGAUUCUUCCCUGAACUCUCCAGAAGGAAUGCAAACCUACCAACGUCAUAAUUUUUGACUUACAAACCCCGGAAAUGAAAAAGAAUCAAUUUAUGUUGUUUGGAGUAAGCUAUGUGAUAGGCAACCUUGAAAUGGCCCCAGAUAAUCCCUGCCUCCAGACUAACAAAAUGAUAUUUGUGUCCAGAACCAGUUAAAGAGCUGUGGCAGUUCUAAGAACUUCCACCAAGAUAAAGCAUAUUCUGAAAGCUGGUUGCCAGAGAAACCAAUCAGCGAUAAAAGAAUUGGGACUUUCAGCUUCACCUUCUCUACCUCUGGGGAGGAAAGAAAGGGCAGAUAUUGAGCUCAAUCUCCAGUGGCUACUGGUUUAAUCAAUAAUGCUUACAUACUGAAGCUUCCUUAAAAACCCUAAAUGAAGGAGUUCAGAAAACCCCAGGUUCACCACAAUGAUGAAGACAUUCAUGUGCCUAGAGAGUAGCCCACCCUAACUCAGUGGGGCAGAAACUCCUGUGGUCAGAACCCUUCU